Molecule: ribosomal RNA, 467 nt
Filed under: Flavobacterium sp. 01WB04.3-31
Lineage: Bacteria; Pseudomonadati; Bacteroidota; Flavobacteriia; Flavobacteriales; Flavobacteriaceae
Description: bacterial SSU rRNA
Rfam family: Bacterial small subunit ribosomal RNA
Source: RNAcentral
UGAGCUUGAUCCUGGCUCAGGAUGAACGCUAGCGGCAGGCUUAACACAUGCAAGUCGAGGGGUAUAAGUCUUCGGAUUUAGAGACCGGCGCACGGGUGCGUAACGCGUAUGCAAUCUACCUUUUACAGAGGGAUAGCCCAGAGAAAUUUGGAUUAAUACCUCAUAGCAUAGCAGCUUCGCAUGAAGCCACUAUUAAAGUCACAACGGUAAAAGAUGAGCAUGCGUCCCAUUAGCUAGUUGGUAAGGUAACGGCUUACCAAGGCUACGAUGGGUAGGGGUCCUGAGAGGGAGAUCCCCCACACUGGUACUGAGACACGGACCAGACUCCUACGGGAGGCAGCAGUGAGGAAUAUUGGACAAUGGGCGCAAGCCUGAUCCAGCCAUGCCGCGUGCAGGAUGACGGUCCUAUGGAUUGUAAACUGCUUUUAUACGAGAAGAAACACUCCUUCGUGAAGGAGCUGACGGUA